AGUGGGGAAUCUUCCGCAAUGGACGAAAGUCUGACGGAGCAACGCCGCGUGAGUGAAGAAGGUCUUCGGAUUGUAAAGCUCUGUUUUUUGGGAAGAAGGGCAUAUGUGUGAACAAUGCAUAUGAUUGACGGUACCAAAAGAGGAAGCCCCGGCUAACUACGUGCCAGCAGCCGCGGUAAUACGUAGGGGGCAAGCGUUGUCCGGAUUUAUUGGGCGUAAAGAGCGCGCAGGCGGCUAUUUAAGUCUACCGUGAAAGCUUACGGCUCAACCGUAACGGGUCGGUGGAUACUGGAUAGCUUGAGGGCAGGAGAGGAAAGUGGAAUUCCCAGUGUAGCGGUGAAAUGCGUAGAGAUUGGGAGGAACACCAGUGGCGAAGGCGACUUUCUGGACUGUUACCGACGCUGAGGCGCGAAAGCUGGGGGAGUGAACGGGAUUAGAUACCCCGGUAAUCCCAGCCGUAAACGAUGGGUACUAGGUGUAGGAGGUAUCGACCCCUUCUGUGCCGGAGUUAACGCAAUAAGUACCCCGCCUGGGGAGUACGGUCGCAAGACUG
This 553-nucleotide ribosomal RNA is filed under the name uncultured bacterium. RNAcentral describes it as "bacterial SSU rRNA". It matches the Rfam family "Bacterial small subunit ribosomal RNA", at positions 353 to 896 of the family's 1533-position model. The record is from RNAcentral.